Molecule: ribosomal RNA, 266 nt
Filed under: uncultured bacterium
Lineage: Bacteria
Description: partial 16S ribosomal RNA
Rfam family: Bacterial small subunit ribosomal RNA
Source: RNAcentral
CGUUUUAGUGGCGAACGGGUGAGUAAUACAUAGGUAACCUACCCUUAAGACGAGGAUAGCCAUUGGAAACGAUGGAUAAAACUGGAUAGGAUAUAGAGGAAGAAUCUUUUAUAUUUAAAAGAGAGAUCUGCUUAAGGAGGGGCCUGUGGCGCAUUAGCUAGUUGGUGGGGUAAGGGCCUACCAAGGCGAUGAUGCGUAGCCGGACUGAGAGGUUGAACGGCCACAAUGGAACUGAGAACGGUCCAUACUCCUACGGGAGGCAGCAG